CAGUCGCGUUCUCUGGGAUUCAGCCUUGCUUCUUGCUUGGUGCAUUUCCUAGUCUACGGGCCAGCAUGAAUCUUGAGCGGUGGAAAAGGGUUUGGGGAAUGUGGCACCUCCGGGUGUGUUAUAGCCCCUUGCUGUAUACACUGGUUGGGAUUGAGGAACGCAGCGCGCCAUUUUGGCCGGGGUCGCUCCUCUCGACACGCGCUUAGGAUGCUGGCAUAAUGGCUUUAAGCGGCCCGUCUUGAAACACGGACCAAGGAGUCUAACAUAUAUG
RNAcentral lists this ribosomal RNA (271 nucleotides) under Diversispora epigaea. The record is from RNAcentral. Lineage: Eukaryota; Fungi; Glomeromycota; Glomeromycetes; Diversisporales; Diversisporaceae.